RNAcentral lists this ribosomal RNA (315 nucleotides) under uncultured eukaryote. RNAcentral describes it as "partial 18S ribosomal RNA". It matches the Rfam family "Eukaryotic small subunit ribosomal RNA", at positions 1470 to 1796 of the family's 1831-position model. The record is from RNAcentral.
CCCUUAGAUGUUCUGGGCCGCACGCGCGCUACACUGACCAGUGCAACAAGCAUCCGUCCUUGGCCGACAGGCCCGGGCAAUCUUUGAACGCUGGUCGUGAUGGGGAUAGACUUUUGCAAUUUUUGGUCUUCAACGAGGAAUUCCUAGUAAACGCAAGUCAUCAACUUGCAUUGAUUACGUCCCUGCCCUUUGUACACACCGCCCGUCGCACCUACCGAUUGAAUGGUCCGGUGAAGCCUCCGGAUUGGCGCGCACCUCGGUGCCGCCGAGAAGUUGGCGAAACCUUACCAUUUAGAGGAAGGUGAAGUCGUAACA